RNAcentral lists this transfer RNA (67 nucleotides) under Maudiozyma exigua. RNAcentral's name for it is "Kazachstania exigua partial transfer RNA". Lineage: Eukaryota; Fungi; Ascomycota; Saccharomycetes; Saccharomycetales; Saccharomycetaceae. The record is from RNAcentral.
AAGGCGCAAGACUGUAAUGUUUAAACAAGAUAUCUUGAGAUCGGGCGUUCGACUCGCCCCCUGGAGA